UACGUAGGGGGCAAGCGUUGUCCGGAUUUAUUGGGCGUAAAGAGCGUGUAGGCGGCCUGACAGGUCUGCUGUGAAAACUCGAGGCUCAACCUCGAGAUGUCGGCGGAAACCGUCUGGCUAGAGUCCGGAAGAGGAGAGUGGAAUUCCUGGUGUAGCGGUGAAAUGCGCAGAUAUCAGGAGGAACACCGGUGGCGAAGGCGGAUCUCUGGGCCGAUACUGACGCUGAGGAGCGAAAGCGUGGGGAGCGAACAGG
This 253-nucleotide ribosomal RNA is filed under the name uncultured bacterium. RNAcentral describes it as "partial 16S ribosomal RNA". It matches the Rfam family "Bacterial small subunit ribosomal RNA", at positions 524 to 776 of the family's 1533-position model. The record is from RNAcentral.